CUUAUAUUCUGUAGCAAGGUUAACCGUAUAGGGGAGCCGAAGGGAAACCGAGUCUUAACUGGGCGUUAAGUUGCAGGGUAUAGACCCGAAACCCGGUGAUCUAGCCAUGGGCAGGUUGAAGGUUGGGUAACACUAACUGGAGGACCGAACCGACUAAUGUUGAAAAAUUAGCGGAUGACUUGUGGCUGGGGGUGAAAGGCCAAUCAAACCGGGAGAUAGCUGGUUCUCCCCGAAAGCUAUUUAGGUAGCGCCUCGUGAACUCAUCUUCGGGGGUAGAGCACUGUUUCGGCUAGGGGGUCAUCCCGACUUACCAACCCGAUGCAAACUGCGAAUACCGAAGAAUGUUAUCACGGGAGACACACGGCGGGUGCUAACGUCCGUCGUGAAGAGGGAAACAACCCAGACCGCCAGCUAAGGUCCCAAAGUCACAGUUAAGUGGGAAACGAUGUGGGAAGGCUCAGACAGCCAGGAUGUUGGCUUAGAAGCAGCCAUCAUUUAAAGAAAGCGUAAUAGCUCACUGGUCGAGUCGGCCUGCGCGGAAGAUGUAACGGGGCUAAACUGUGCACCGAAGCUGCGGCAGCGACGCUUAUGCGUUGUUGGGUAGGGGAGCGUUCUGUAAGCCUGCGAAGGUGUCCUGUGAGGGAUGCUGGAGGUAUCAGAAGUGCGAAUGCUGACAUAAGUAACGAUAAUGCGGGUGAAAAGCCCGCUCGCCGGAAGACCAAGGGUUCCUGUCCAACGUUAAUCGGGGCAGGGUGAGUCGACCCCUAAGGCGAGGCCGAAAGGCGUAGUCGAUGGGAAACGGGUUAAUAUUCCCGUACUUGGUGUUACUGCGAAGGGGGGACGGAGAAGGCUAUGUUGGCCGGGCGACGGUUGUCCCGGUUUAAGCGUGUAGGCUGGUUUUCCAGGCAAAUCCG
Molecule: ribosomal RNA, 914 nt
Filed under: Salmonella enterica
Lineage: Bacteria; Pseudomonadati; Pseudomonadota; Gammaproteobacteria; Enterobacterales; Enterobacteriaceae
Also listed under: 2 other names
Description: partial 23S ribosomal RNA
Rfam family: Bacterial large subunit ribosomal RNA
Source: RNAcentral